Xanthomonas campestris pv. campestris is the source of this 96-nucleotide non-coding RNA. The record is from Rfam. NCBI's taxonomy places the organism in Bacteria, Pseudomonadati, Pseudomonadota, Gammaproteobacteria, Lysobacterales, Lysobacteraceae.
AGUUUUCCCUAUCGCGGGGACGGCGGAGUCAGUGCCGUCGCUCCUCGCGGUAGUUCUAUCGAAAGCCAGGAGGGCGGGCGCCACGGACGGCGCAUU